This 315-nucleotide ribosomal RNA is filed under the name Triticum aestivum (bread wheat). Its description in RNAcentral is "partial small subunit ribosomal RNA". The record is from RNAcentral. Lineage: Eukaryota; Viridiplantae; Streptophyta; Magnoliopsida; Poales; Poaceae.
AUGAAGCAAAUAAUCUACUGCAGUUUGAUCUACUGCAAAUUACCGAAUCAAUUGACAGCUACUCCUGGUUAUCAAUUUGAUCUUCAUUUGCAUAAACCUGGUUGGUGCUUGCACUAUUUACUGAAAAUAAACCAUUAUUUACUGAAGAUAAACCUGGUUGACCUUCAUUUGCAUAAACCUGGUUUGUGCUUGCACUAUUUACUGGAAAUAAACCAUUAUUUACUGAAGUUAAACCUGGUUGAUCUUCAUUUGCAUAACUUGGUUGAGUAUUACAGAGCAAUUGACAGCAAAUUGAUCUGGUUGGAAUUCAGAUAG